Molecule: small RNA, 158 nt
Filed under: Marmota monax (woodchuck)
Lineage: Eukaryota; Metazoa; Chordata; Mammalia; Rodentia; Sciuridae
Source: RNAcentral
GCCAGGUAUGGUGAGGCACACCUGUAAUCCCAGCACCUUGGGAGGCUGAGGCAGGAGGAUACCAAAUUCAAGGCCGGUCUCAGCAACUUAGCAAGACCCUGUUUCAAAAAGGGGUAGGUGGGAGGCUGGGGAUGUAGCUCAGUGGUAGAACCUCUCUG